This is a non-coding RNA of Pelobates cultripes (western spadefoot toad), 459 nucleotides long. The record is from the annotation of a GenBank genome assembly. NCBI's taxonomy places the organism in Eukaryota, Metazoa, Chordata, Amphibia, Anura, Pelobatidae.
CUUUAAAGGUAUAUACAUAUCACAACAUUAAAUAUGAAUAAUAUAUUUUUAAAAUAUUCUCGGUUUGCAUUUAGCAACUUCAGCACAAGUACAGCCUAACUUUAAGCCAGAGAGCCUGUUCUGCACCAGACCAGUGGAGCCAGACUGCAGCUAGAGCCCAUCAUCAUCCUCAUCUGGUUGUAAGUAGGCAAUCUAGUAUAUUAUCCGUGGCACUAAGCUCUAAUUUACCUCACAUUAAAGAAACACUAUAGUCCCCAGAACCACUUCAGCUUAAUGUAGUGGUUCUGGUGUCUAUAGCCUGUCCCUGCAGACCUUUUAAUGUAAAAACGGUGGCACUGCAGCACUGGCGUUAGUUAAGAUGGCAAAUCAUAUGGGUGGUGCAUUGUGAUGUUACAUGGGGGGGCGGCAAACUUUACUUUUGCCUAGGGCGGCAAAAAUCCUUGCACCGGUCCUGGCUAG